RNAcentral lists this ribosomal RNA (254 nucleotides) under uncultured bacterium. Its description in RNAcentral is "partial 16S ribosomal RNA". It matches the Rfam family "Bacterial small subunit ribosomal RNA", at positions 524 to 776 of the family's 1533-position model. The record is from RNAcentral.
UACGAAGGGGGUUAGCGUUGCUCGGAAUCACUGGGCGUAAAGGGUGCGUAGGCGGGUCUUUAAGUCAGGGGUGAAAUCCUGGAGCUCAACUCCAGAACUGCCCUUGAUACUGAGGAUCUUGAGUUCGGGAGAGGUGAGUGGAACUGCGAGUGUAGAGGUGAAAUUCGUAGAUAUUCGCAAGAACACCAGUGGCGAAGGCGGCUCACUGGCCCGAUACUGACGCUGAGGCACGAAAGCGUGGGGAGCCAAACAGG